UUCAUUUUUCUCCCCUUAAUUAACUAUCCAGUUUGAUGGAUUUUUAAGGAAAACCUAGCGUAGCUCUGUUGUAUCCACAACCAGAGGGCGAAAACGCUUUUAUCACGUGUCACAUAAUUCACAAACAAUAAUCACUUCACUAAAAGAUGAAAAUUUGUUAUCAGAUGAUGUCGAAAAUAUUAUAGUACAGGGACAUCUUCUAUAUUCCUUAAAUACAUAUACACAGUGGAGGCAUCUUAAACCCACAAAAAAAUAUAUACAGGUGAAUUCCGUCAAUUUGCAUUGACUGCAUUUUUAUUCACCUAAGGCUUACAGAUAUCUCAAAUCACACUUUUGUAUGCCUCCGGAAUCCACAUUAAGGGCAUGGAGUCACAAGAUUGAAAUCAUGCCAGGUUUCCUUUCUAUUUCAUUUACUUAAAUUAAAAGCUACCAAAAAAAAUCAGAAAAGCAGUUGUAUUGCGUACUUAGCCUUGAUGAAAUGCAUAUUAAAACACAAAUAGAUUAUGACCCCCACAAAGCAGAAUAUCAUGGUUAUGUUGAUUUAGGUGAUGGGACAAAAUCAACAAAGGAAGAUAAAUCUUGUCCAGAAGCAACAAAGGUACUGUUUCUUAUGGCUACCUGUCUUAAUAGCAGCUGGAAAAUGCCAAUAGCCUAUUUUCUAGUUCACAAAUGAAUUCAGAUAUCCUAGCUAAUUUAGUGAGAGAUGCAUUGUUCAAUCUAAAUGAAACUGGAGUUAUCUGUAAGGCCAUAGUAUGCGAUGGUUGUUCUGUUAAUAAAAAUGAGCAAACUGCUUGGUGUUAGUAUGGAUCCUGAUAAUAUCAUUCCAUAUAUUGAGCUGGAAUUUUAUGAUUCGGAAAUUUUUUUUUAUAUUACUAGAUGUUUGUCAUGUGCUCAAAUUACUUAGAAAUCUAUUAGCGGAGGAGAAAAUUUUAAUAAAUGAAUCAAAUGGAGAGUUAAUAGAUUGUAAGCAUAUACAAAGUUUACAUAAAUUGCAGGAGAGAGAAGGUUUACAUGCUGCAAAUAAAUUGCACAAAGCACAUAUUUUUCCACAAACAAAAAGUGAAAGUUAAACUUGCUGUUCAAGUUUUUAGUGCAUCUGUUGCAAAUAGCCUAAUAGCCUUCUUUUUGCCCAGCAUCAGGAGAUUCCUGGAUUUGAAAAUUGUGAUGGUACAAUUAAUUUUAUAUUGAUGAUAUAUCAAAUCUUUGAUUAUCUUAAUACAAGAAAUUGUCUUGGUAAAGGAUAUAAAGCCUUUUUAUAUACUAAUACAAUUGCAGAAUAUGAAACUCAUUUUGACAAGUGCAUUAAAACUUUAAAAUCACUCAAGUUAACAAAUGGAGUUUAUGUAAAUCUAAUAAAAAAAACAUGUGUAGAAGGGCUAAUUCUUUCUAUCACAAGCAUCCUGGAAAUGGGGAAGGAGUUAUUAAUUGGGGAAACCCCAAAAAUGAAGUUUUUUUUAACAUACAAAACCUCUCAAGACCACUUAGAAUUAUAUUUUUGUAGUAUUCGUAGCAGGAGUGGAUUUAAUGAUAAUCCAUCAGCAUAUCAAGUUCAAUCUGCUGUUCGCAUUUCAUUAAUGGCAAAAUUGGAUGCAACAAUUACAGGAAAUUGCAUUUCCUUAGACAAUACACAUAUAAUAUGUUCAAAUUUUCAAAAUAAUCAUGAUGAUGAAUGUAAUUCUAUCAAAGCUAUUUCAAAUCCAAUAAUACCCACCAUAUUAUCUUAUUAUUUUAGCCAAACAAAUCCCCAUAUCCCGAAAUUAUCAUUAUAUUUAGAUAAUGUAUCAACUUAUAUUUUGGAUAGUACAACAACUUAUUAAAGAAAAAAAGGUACGUUGUGAUGUUUGCAUUAAUGCAAUGGUCAGUGAUUCAUAUAUUGAUAAUAUAAUAAAUAAUAUGCUCAUAAAUUUUAAAAAUAAUGGGGGGGGGGUUAGUGAUUCCUUCAUCUAGUAUGUCAAUAUUAUGCCAAAUUUGUGAAAGUUCAUUUAGAACUUAUCAAAAUGAUAUUAAACAUAAAAAUAUCAUUAAAAAAAUGGAAGUGUUUGUUUUUCCCAAAAUAAUUGGUUCAAAUAUUUUUAUUGAUCUUACUGAACAUAUUAUUGAACAUGAAAUUGGUUACAGCCAUUUUCAAAUUCUUGUAAAAUUAAUUGUUCAAAGAUAUUUAAAUAUUAGAUUUUUUCAUUUUGCUGACUUGAGAAACCAGGAAUUGAGAACUGGUAUGAGGCAAAAUCUUACAAAAGCAAUACAAUUUAAUAAUCAAUAAGUCAUGUGAUGAUCGAAUCAAAAAGGAUGAAUAUUUAUAAUCAAAGAUAAUAUGAAUGUGAAUAUACAUUUUGUUUUUUAAAGUGUACACCUUUACAUUUUUAUAUAUUUAUUGUAUAAACCUUAUUUAAAUGAUUUAUAUUAUUAU
This is a long non-coding RNA of Gordionus sp. m RMFG-2023, 2407 nucleotides long. RefSeq lists it as uncharacterized. The record is from RefSeq and is a predicted model, not a curated record. NCBI's taxonomy places the organism in Eukaryota, Metazoa, Nematomorpha, Gordioida, Chordodea, Parachordodidae. The transcript is spliced from 8 exons.